RNAcentral lists this ribosomal RNA (506 nucleotides) under uncultured bacterium. RNAcentral's name for it is "partial 16S ribosomal RNA". It matches the Rfam family "Bacterial small subunit ribosomal RNA", at positions 29 to 523 of the family's 1533-position model. The record is from RNAcentral.
AGUGAACGCUGGCGGUAGGCCUAACACAUGCAAGUCGAACGGCAGCACAGGAGAGCUUGCUCUCUGGGUGGCGAGUGGCGGACGGGUGAGGAAUACAUCGGAAUCUACUCUGUCGUGGGGGAUAACGUAGGGAAACUUACGCUAAUACCGCAUACGACCUACGGGUGAAAGCAGGGGAUCUUCGGACCUUGCGCGAUUGAAUGAGCCGACGUCGGAUUAGCUAGUUGGCGGGGUAAAGGCCCACCAAGGCGACGAUCCGUAGCUGGUCUGAGAGGAUGAUCAGCCACACUGGAACUGAGACACGGUCCAGGCUCCUACGGGAGGCAGCAGUGGGGAAUAUUGGACAAUGGGCGCAAGCCUGAUCCAGCCAUACCGCGUGGGUGAAGAAGGCCUUCGGGUUGUAAAGCCCUUUUGUUGGGAAAGAAAUCCAGCUGGCUAAUACCCGGUUGGGAUGACGGUACCCAAAGAAUAAGCACCGGCUAACUUCGUGCCAGCAGCCGCGGUAA